AGAAGCUUCGACUAAGGUUCGAUUCGAGCGAAGCGAGAAAGCGUUGCCGCAGGCAACGACCCGAAGGGCGAGGCGCAACGCGCCGAGUAAUCCUUCCCCCACCACCA
This 107-nucleotide small RNA is filed under the name Klebsiella michiganensis. RNAcentral describes it as "partial RtT sRNA". It matches the Rfam family "RtT RNA", at positions 25 to 130 of the family's 130-position model. From Rfam's summary of the family: This family represents a bacterial cis-regulatory element known as RtT RNA. The exact function of RtT is unknown although it is thought that it may be involved in changing the cellular response in relation to amino acid starvation. The record is from RNAcentral. Lineage: Bacteria; Pseudomonadati; Pseudomonadota; Gammaproteobacteria; Enterobacterales; Enterobacteriaceae.